UACCAGCACCCCGAGUGGUCGGGACGAUUAUUGGGCCUAAAGCAUCCGUAGCCGGUUUUACAAGUCCCCCGUUAAAUCCAGCUGCUUAACAGAUGGGCUGCGGAGGAUACUAUAAGACUAGGAGGCAGGAGAGGCAAGCGGUACUCAGUGGGUAGGGGUAAAAUCCGUUGAUCCAUUGAAGACCACCAGUGGCGAAGGCGGCUUGCCAGAAUGCGCUCGACGGUGAGGGAUGAAAGCUGGGGAGCAAACCGG
Molecule: ribosomal RNA, 252 nt
Filed under: uncultured bacterium
Lineage: Bacteria
Description: partial 16S ribosomal RNA
Rfam family: Archaeal small subunit ribosomal RNA
Source: RNAcentral